GAUGAAGAACGUAGCGAAAUGCGAUACGUAGUGUGAAUUGCAGAAUUCAGUGAAUCAUCGAAUCUUUGAACGCACAUUGCACCUCUCGGUAUUCCGGGAGGUAUGCCUGUUCGAGCGUCAUUAGUACCCUCAAGCUCUGCUUGGUGUUGGGUGUUUGUUCCGCCUCUGUGUGUGAACUCGCCUCAAAACAAUUGGCAGCCGGCGUACUUGUUUCGGAGCGCAGCACAUUUUGCGAUCCAGAUCAACGUACAGCGGCAUCCAAGAAGCCUUAUUUAACGCUCUUGACCUCGGAUCAGGUAGGGAUACCCGCUGAACUUAAGCAUAUCAAUAAGCGGAGGA
This 339-nucleotide unclassified non-coding RNA is filed under the name soil metagenome. RNAcentral's name for it is "partial contains 5.8S ribosomal RNA, internal transcribed spacer 2, and large subunit ribosomal RNA". The stretch from base 1 to 120 matches the Rfam family "5.8S ribosomal RNA", at positions 35 to 154 of the family's 154-position model. The record is from RNAcentral.